RNAcentral lists this ribosomal RNA (228 nucleotides) under uncultured bacterium. RNAcentral's name for it is "partial 16S ribosomal RNA". It matches the Rfam family "Bacterial small subunit ribosomal RNA", at positions 568 to 795 of the family's 1533-position model. The record is from RNAcentral.
UGCGUAGGCGGAAUAUUAAGUCAGUGGUGAAAUCCUGCGGCUCAACCGUAGAACUGCCAUUGAUACUGAUAUUCUUGAAUGUAGUUGAGGUAGGCGGAAUGUGGAAUGUAGCGGUGAAAUGCUUAGAUAUUACACAGAACACCGAUUGCGAAGGCAGCUUACUAAACUAUGAUUGACGCUGAGGCACGAAAGCGUGGGGAGCGAACAGGAUUAGAUACCCUGGUAGUC